This 330-nucleotide ribosomal RNA is filed under the name Triticum aestivum (bread wheat). RNAcentral's name for it is "partial small subunit ribosomal RNA". The record is from RNAcentral. Lineage: Eukaryota; Viridiplantae; Streptophyta; Magnoliopsida; Poales; Poaceae.
AUGAACGUUGCGCUUAUGCUGCGUUGGGUUUGGCGGAUCUUGCGGGGAGAUGGGGGGUUGUGGCUGUAGCUGGUUGAGUCCAAGUACUUGCAGGGCCAACCCCUCAUGGCUUGCUCACACUCGGCUGGGUCCCAGUUCUGAAAAUCUAUUUUGGCCAUCAAGGAAGAUAUUAGGCUGGGUUUGCGUUUCUCGGUUGGCAACGGGUCUGGGACCCAAUUUUGGUUGGACCCAUGGCUUGAGGGCGAGCCUCUCCGCUUGCGGUUCCCGAGGCUCUUUGCGAUUUGUGAUGACCCGACCAUUCUUGUAUCUGCGGCUGCUUUGGAGGAGUGA